AGAAACAACACGAUCAGAAAUGAUUGCUCUGGUGGUGUUAAUAAUCUGCUUGGCCAUUUCUGUGAUUGUGAAUAUCAUUUUCAUCUGUUACCGAAUUCCAAGAGCAGCAGAAGAACAAUUCACAGAAUUCACCUCUUCACAAACAGGACAAGACAAUGUAAACCAACUAGCGGUUGAUGUGACUGAAGGUGGACAUGAUCUGAACUAUGCUGCACUGCAUCUCUCUGGAAGGAAAGCUUCACGAGGAAAGAAGAAGACGGAGUUGACGCCUGAAGAAAGUGUUUAUUCUCAAGUUAAAUACCAAAUGUGAAUAUAUCUAUGAAAAACUGAUAAUUUACUUAUAGUACUGAGCUCUUAAAUUGAAAAAAUAAUAAUACACAUCACUGAUUACAGUCUUAUUUUAUUAAAAGCAACCUGUUAAAUGGCAAAAGACAAAAUCUCCUCCAUUCUGUCUGUGAUGAAGCCUCACUUGUCGAGGUUUGGUUUGCUUUACUUACAGUUUUAUUUUUUUAAAAAGGAUCCUUGUCACUGGGUGUCUCUAGCUAGU
This is a long non-coding RNA of Acanthochromis polyacanthus (spiny chromis), 547 nucleotides long. RefSeq lists it as uncharacterized. The record is from RefSeq and is a predicted model, not a curated record. Lineage: Eukaryota; Metazoa; Chordata; Actinopteri; Pomacentridae. The transcript is spliced from 3 exons.